AACGAACGCUGGCGGCAUGCCUAACACAUGCAAGUCGAACGAGAACGGCGGGUCUAGUGGCGCACGGGUGCGUAACGCGUGGGAAUCUGCCCUUUGGUUCGGAAUAACAGUUGGAAACGACUGCUAAUACCGGAUGAUGACGAAAGUCCAAAGAUUUAUCGCCAGAGGAUGAGCCCGCGUAGGAUGAGCUAGUUGGUGUGGUAAAGGCGCACCAAGGCGACGAUCCUUAGCUGGUCUGAGAGGAUGAUCAGCCACACUGGGACUGAGACACGGCCCAGACUCCUACGGGAGGCAGCAGUGGGGAAUAUUGGACAAUGGGCGAAAGCCUGAUCCAGCAAUGCCGCGUGAGUGAUGAAGGCCUUAGGGUUGUAAAGCUCUUUUACCCGGGAUGAUAAUGACAGUACCGGGAGAAUAAGCUCCGGCUAACUCCGUGCCAGCAGCCGCAGUAA
Molecule: ribosomal RNA, 449 nt
Filed under: uncultured bacterium
Lineage: Bacteria
Description: partial 16S ribosomal RNA
Rfam family: Bacterial small subunit ribosomal RNA
Source: RNAcentral